RNAcentral lists this long non-coding RNA (11143 nucleotides) under Homo sapiens (human). Its description in RNAcentral is "HSALNT0044732". The record is from RNAcentral. Lineage: Eukaryota; Metazoa; Chordata; Mammalia; Primates; Hominidae.
AUUCUCUGGGUUAUAUGUGCUUUCUAAAACAGCGCACACAUAGCUGUCAAAACUAAACUAUGCAAAGGAAAGGUCAGACUUCGACAGAUAAUUCCUGUUGCCGUGGAAACAAAGUCGGUUUUGGAAAAAGCUGCAAGUUCCUCUAAAUAACCACAGAUUCAAAAACUUCAUGGUCUUCCUUUGACAGGUGUAGUGAUGAGGUGAACUUUGAGACUAUCCUUGGACCGCAAUUUAAGCUUGAGACAAAGGAAACUGAUUGUGUUAUCUCUUUGUAACCCAAACACCUGUAAAUCUACUUCACCAAGCUUUGACAGCAUCUGAACACUUAUUGAUCUUAAAAUGGUACAAAAACCUUUACUUGUUUGCCAGUCAACAAAGAAACCACUGACUGAGCACUCUGAAGGAGAGUUAAAGGUUUUAAGAGAAUGAAGAAAAUUUCAAACGUUCACUAAGGAGAACGGGCAAAAGAGUUGACUAAGAAAAUAGAAAAGGAUACCAAGAAAUCAUUGAAGAAGAGAUUAAAGUUAGAGGACAUUAUUUUGUAUUUGUAUAAAUGUGCAUGUUUCCUCAAUUUUUCUCCAGCACAUACAUUACUCUGGGCAUGAGCACAGAAAGCAAGACAAUUGCCAGGAGAAUGUAAUGAAAAAUGAGUUGAAACACUGAAAAAGAUAAAGUACAUCAGUGGAAUAUGAACAGAUUAGGAAAUAAAAUAAAGAAGAUGAGUGGGCUGUGGAAAUAAAAGGAAUCACAAAACUGGAGGCUUAAUGAAGUUAAAGAACAUGUGGACUAGGAAAACCAAGAUGGUUGAAAAGACAGCAGAUUGUGAACACACAAAAAAUUCUGAGCUUAAAUUGUCAGCAGCAGUAAAGCAAUAUCAAGUAAUGAGAAUUCCAGCUGUGAGGCUGUAUGAGUGAUUUGCUGGAGAGGCACAGAAUUAUAGGUCAAUGGAGAUAAAGUCAUCCAUAAACUACAAACAAGGGAGUUGAAGGAGCCAUCCAGGGACAUUUAGAAAUGUGGUUUAGUCAAAUGGCAUGAAACUUUCAGAAAUAAAGGUAUGAAUACAUUAUGUUAAAUGUCAUAAAAACACCACUGUUAUGGUAUGAAACAACUUCACAAUUUCUAAAGGCUUAUUUUUCAUGCUUUAUACUUGAUGACUUGAUAUUAGCUUGUGGUUAAUAAUUUGUAACAAAUAUAACAUGAAUAAAGAUGCAACAUAAGCUAGGUAAGUUCUAUAAACUGAAUAGAACAUGGAAAAUUAGUACACACAGUGCUAUGGGGUGAUGACAAACUGAAAGCAAGUGUAUUGUUUUUGUUUUGUUUUGUAUUGUUUUGUUUUGUUUUGUGACGGAGUCUCUCUCUGUUGCCCAGGCUGGAGUGCAGUGGCACCAUCUCCGCUCACUGCAAGCUGCGCCUCAUGGGUUCACGCCAUUCUCCUGCCUCAGCCUGCCGAGUAGCUGGGACUACAGGCACCCGCCACUACGCCUGGCUAAUUUUUUUGUAUUUUUAGUAGAGACAGGGUUUCACCGUGUUAGCCAGGAUGGUCUCCAUGUCCUGACCUCGUGAUCCGCCCGCCUCGGCCUCCCAAAGUGCUGGGAUUACAGGCGUGAGCCACCGUGCCUGGCGAAAUCAAGUUUUAUAAUGAUGUUUUCCAUUUGUAUAAUAAAUAUUUCCGAGUAUUAACAUUUUAUCUUUCAUACUUUUUCAAAUGUAGUUCUUUUAAUACUCCAAUUAAGAUUUUCUUAUUACCUGAGGAAAGAAGUGAUUAUUAGCAUGGCAAAAAACAAGGAAUAGAGUAUGUUUUGAAAACUGUCAUGUUGAAGAUUUAUUUCUAUGUGCGUUAUUCUUCUGUAAACAUGUAAACAGAUAGUGAUUAAAAGUAAUAUAACUAUAAUAAUAAUAAUUUUACUUUAAUAAAAAUGCCAUACAAGACUCUAGUUUUUUAAGAGCUUGAUUACAUAAAACAUUUCAUAGUUGCUUAUGUUGAGGAUAUUAUUUCUAAAAACAAAGAAUGAAUCAUAUUGUAUAUAAACAAAAUGUAUUGAAAGUUGUUAUGCUAUGAAAAAGGAACUUAAGUAAUUAUCUGAAAUUCUAAUGUAAAUUCUUUAUAAAAACCUGCAGGCAUGAACACUGAUGCUGAAGACAUAGGAAGCCUUUUUCCCCUGAUCUGAAAUCACUUUUAGUAGAAUCAAAUGAUCUGGGAAUGGUGGUUCCAAAAUUUUGUUGCUAUCACUAGUUUAACUUGGCCUUUAUUUUUAUUAUUACUUCUACCACAAGAUGGGUGUUUAUGAAUGUGAGUGGUAUAAAUGGACAAAAACCUGAGGUAGCUUUCUUACUACCUCCCUACUUCUAGUUUUGCCUGUCUUCAUUUAUUCAGAUGACUUACAUUCAUUGCAACUUGUUAACUUAUGUAUUCACUGAUUCAUUCAUUUAUCAUUGCUUGUGUACCUGUAAAGAGUGUCAGCUAUAUUCUAAAUCUGUACUGUCCAAUACAGUAGCCAUACAUAGCUAUUUAAAUUAAUCUCAAACUAACCAAAACUAAAAAUUCAGUUCUGCAGACAUUCUAGCUACAUUUCAAGAGCCCAAAAACUCCAUAUGGCUGGGGGGUAGUUUAUUGGCCAGCACAGAUAUAGAACAUUUCUCUUAUCAUAAAACAUUCCAUUGGACAGUCCUAUUCUCAAGCAGAGGAAUGUAGAGAUACAAGUUGAAAUCUCUGCUGUGAAAGCUCAUGGAUCAUCAGAAAAAAAAAUUAAGAUAGAAGCAUCUUCAAGGAACUUUCGGUUAACAAAGAAUAAACAUCUAAAUGAAUCUGAAGAGAACAUGAAAUGAACAAAAUGAUGCCUGACAUGGAUUUAGUCAGGUGCUCAGGGAAAAGCAAGCAAAGGGAAUAUCAUUUGCAAUGCUCAUGCACCAAACAUAACAACGACAACAAAAAAACUAUAAUUUCAAGGACAUACAAAUAGUUUGAAAUGGCUAGAAUGUGGAGUGAUAUUCGAUGAGGUUUUCCAACAAGUCUCAUGUUUGGUUUAGUUUGGUUUCAUCUACAAAAUAGGAAUAAUAAUAGUACCUAACUCUUGAGGUUGAUGCUAUAAUUAACUAAUUUUAAUAUAUGAAGCACUUAUAACAGCUCUUGGUACUGGCAAGUAUUUAUAAGUAUUAACAAUUAUUAUUAUCAUUGUUAUAUAAUGUAUAUUAUUUUUAAAAGAUUGGAAGUAUGAUCAGUGACUUCAGAGUAAGAAACAGAGGCACACUCCUCAUCAGAACACCAUAGCCAGUGAUAUUCAGGAAAAGAAUUAAACUAAAAACCUCCUGAUCCUUCUGUUUCUUAUGGAGGGAGUGUGAAUGGUGGGAAAAGGAUGUCACUGCUUCUAGAUAUGCUGGUGGGGGAAAAGUCACAAACAAAUAGGAGAAAUAAAAAUUAGCUUAGAGUACAUAGAGCCAGAAUAUUUCCUGACUAUUGCAUGUGGGUGUGUGCUUUUAACUUACAAUUAUUUUCCUUUUUUUAACUUUACUUGAUAAGAAAAAAACAUAUCAGAAGUAUGAAGCUAAAAUAAAACUGUGUUUUCACUAUUUCUUUUUGUUUCUCUUUUUCCUGGUUCAAAAGAAUCAAGAUUAAAAACUGCCGAGAAUAUCCUAACACAGACUGUUCUUAUAAGAAUUUCAGUCGACGUUUGGAAACUUGAAAGGUUUGGGUGGUUUGGCUAAAGGUCAACCAAGAAUCAAACAUUUUAACUGCUUAUUCAGACUGAACUUUUCAACCAUCUCAUGUUGUUCUUUUUACUACUAUACAGUAAUGAUAAAAACCACUGUUUUUUUCUUAAUUUACUAAGGCAAAUAUUUGCAAAUACUAUACAAAUAGCAGCAUUUAAAUUUGUAACUAAUUUAUUUUUCUUGCAUUAAGCUAUGAGAGCAAUGUAAUCAUAAAAUCAUUCAUUAUUAAAGUGACCAGUUUAAUACUUCAAGCUAUUUUACUCAGUAAUAAAAGAGCUUCAAUAACAAAUGAAAUGUUCUUCUUUCCUGAAGGAGCAUAAAUUAUAAAAGUUUGUGAAUUUGAUUAAUUUUUUGGUAGUUUCCAUGAAGUAGUUGGUUAUAUUUGUGAUUGAUUGAAUAUAGGAGGGUUCUGAUUUUACAUGCAAGCUGAUUUUAAGGGGUAAGAAAGCUUUGAAUUUUUCUUUGACCCAAAUCAUUGGCAAUAAUUUUAUGCAUCACACUAUUACUCUUAUCAAUUAGGUUGAGAUUAUCUUUAUUAAUUGUCUCAGUCACAAUGCCCCAAGCCACAACUAGAAUUUAUAAAUCAGAACUGCAGGAGAGGAAACCUGGUCCUCAGAAUUUCUUUAAACUCUCACAAGUAAAACUGAUGAUCACCCUCUUAGAGCAGUAAUUUUCAGUAUCAACAGACUACCUUCUUUAUUUCUGGAUGGUAAAUAUAAAAGCCAUUCAUUUUGAUAAAAGGAUAAGAUCAAAUUUAAAACAAAAGUAUUUAUAUAUUACAUAAUUAUAAUGCAAUUUAUAUAAUAAAGUAAUAUGGAUUUCAAAAUAUAAAUCUUAGGCAGUACUACAGGAAAAUACAAAUUACAUUAAUCAAAUAUGUGUACUUACAAAGCAGUGACCUCCUUUUCCUAUCACUCACACUAUCCCCUCAAAAAAAAGAAGGGUCAGGAGGUUUUUAAAUUGCUUUCCUGAAUAUCACUGGGUAUGGUGUUCUGAUGAGGCAUGUGCCUCUGCUCCUCACUCUGUAGUAAGUGGUUGAUCAUACUUCCAAUCUUCUAAAAAUAAUAGUAGAAAUAUAAUAAUGCUAAUAAUUGUUAAUAUUUAUAAACACUUGAUAGUGCCAGGAGCUGUUCUAAGUACUUCACAUAUUAAUAAUUAAUUAAAUUUUAACAUGAAGAGUAAGAGUUAGGUACUCUUAUUCCUAUUUUGUAGAUUAAACCAAACCAAACCAAACAUGAAACCUGUUUAGAAAACUUCAUCGAAUUAUCACUCCACAUUCUAGCCAUUUCAAACUAUUUGUAUGCCCUGAAAGUAUUAUGCUUUUUUUCUGUUUUGUCCGUGAGCAUUGCAAACAAUAUUCCCUGUACCUGCGUAAGAGAGGGAAAAUGUCUUCUGUGUACCCUUCUAUGUUCUUUGGCCUAUGAAUUAAAUUGACAUAAGACAGAUUAACAGGAGAAAAUUAUUUUAAUUACAUGCGUUUGCACUGGAGUCCCACAAAACAUGAGAUUCAAAGAAGGGUCAGAUGAUUGAAGCUUAUAUGGCAUCCUGAGCUACAGAAAGGAAUUCCAUUCCCAUAUAUGUCAAAGAUGUCUCUGCCUGAGAGCUUUUUCUCAACUCACACGCUGUGUAAGGCUAGAAGUGACCACGAUUAAACCCUUAGUUGUUGCCACUCAUUCAUUUAUAGAAAUGAAUUGAAGGAUAAGUGUCUCAGGUUUUUUGAAAUUUGGAUUAGAAAACUUGGCCAUCUACCAGGGGUUUUCCUUAAGACUGAACCUUAGUGCCUCAGGGAUAACCUGGCUAGUUAAAGCACCUUUUAUUAAUUUUGUUUCCUCUCCUAUCUUACUUCCCACUUCUUUACUGAUUUUUCGUGCAGUUAAUUUGCAAUCAAAUCCUUUUCUUUUCUUUUUUCUUUUUUUUUUUUUUAAGAUGAAGUCUCACUCUGUCGCCAGGCUGGAGUGUAGUAGCACGAUUUCGGCUCGCUGCAACCUCCAACUCCCUGGUUUAAGUGAUUCUCCUGUCUCAGCCUCCCUAGUAGCUGGGAUUACAGGCAUGCACCGCCAUGCCCAGCUAAUUUUUGCAUUUUUAGUAGAGACGGGGUUUCACCAUGUUGGCCAGGAUAGUCUCAAUCUCCUGACCUCGUGAUCCACCCGCCUCAGCCUCCCAGAGUGCUGGGUUACAGGCGUGAGCCACCACACCCGGCCCAAAUCCUUUUCUUGAAGUAUGCCUCUAGGGAACUCAGCUAAAGAGUGUUGGUGAAGGAUGAGAUUCUGGAGUUAGAUCACUUGCUGUGCAAAUGUCAACAAGGCCCUCCUUGCUGUUAGUAACUGGGUUAAUAAUUAUCCACAGCAUCCUAUACAAUGCAACUACUCAUAUGGAUUAGAUUAGAAAACCCAGAAGACUUGUAGAAUUUAGCACUGGUUUAUGUAAUAGCUCUAGUGCUUAAAAGAAUGCUAAUUAUGCAUAUUGUGAUAUUGUUUGGUGAUUGUUAACACCAUAGAAGCCCCAAAGAAGGAAAGUAACAAACAUAGAAUAGCAAACAAAAUGACUUAUAGUGUGACUUUCAGAAAGUGUCCUUGGUGGCACUUUAGGAGACCCUUAUCAAUUCUGGCUAGAGACAGGAGUGUGUUGAAAACUACAAUCUUAAUUGUAACAAGCGCACACCACAAAGGAAGCUUAAUUUACAGCCAUAGCAGGGCUUCUCCUGUGUUAAAGCCAAAGCUGUGUUAACAAAUAAAUGAGACCCUUAGGCCAGAAUAUUUGGGUAGAGAUGCAUGCGAGAGGUGUUUAAACCUCUAGGUAGCCCUAAACAGUCUAAGCAGGAUGGGAAGAUUUCACUCUCCUUGCUGGAGAAACACAGCCUCAUACUAUUAUGAGAAGGACUCACCUGAAGUUAAGGCCCUGCCAAAUGAUUCUUGGCCUCCUUUAAGGUGUCUCCACCACUGCUCACAGCUUCUAGCCCAAUAAGGAAAUUCAAGUCUCACCACAGCUCAGGUAAAGUAUAGUUCCUGCUAUGGGAGGGAAAUUAUACACUAAAAGAAUUCUAGGUCCUGGCUAAUAUGUACCAGCAGAAAUCUGUAGAACAUGCUAGGCAAUUGAUCUUGAGGAUGUGGGACCAGAAAAGAUGAAGUAAAGGCCGGUAGAAAAUUGCUGACAUAGGGCCACUCACUCAUCAUUUAGAAUUGAAUAAUGCCUUAAGAAUGCUGGAGAUAGGUCUAAUAUGUUUCAAUAAUUAUUCCUUGAAGCUUGGAAACACCAAGUAAAUGAGGUAGAUAUGUCAGAACUGCUCCAGCAAUUAAGAAAGCAGACAGAAGUAUCAGAAAAGUGAGCAUGUACAAACAGAUUUAUUCUACAAGACCAGAAAAAUCACCAGCGGACAAUGUUUGAGGGUCCUGCAGCUGGACACCCGGGAAGGAGCUGGUUUUGGUCUGGUUUGAGCAUCAUGGAGCUGGACACCCAGGGAAGGGCUGUGUUUUUCUGGUUUGAGGGUCAUGGGGCUGGACAACCAGGGAGGAGCUGGUGUUUUUUUGGUUUAGGGGUCAUGGAGCUGGAGAUACGGUGCGGGGGUGGGGGCAGUGUUGUUCUAGUUUGAGGGUGGAGGAGCUGGAAAUCCAGGGGUAGGAGUGAUUUUCUAGUUUGAGGUCGUUUGAGGGUCAGCUGCACAACCCUCAACCUGGAGGGACACCAGCUCCCCCCUGGGUCUCCAGCUCCACAAACUUCUCACUGGAGAAACACUAGCUCCUCCCCGGAUCUCCAGCUCCAUGGCCCUCAGACUAGAGCCGCAUCAGCUCCUCCUCAGGUCUCCAGCUCUACAACCCUCAAGCUGGAACAGUGUCAGCUCCUCUCCAGGUCUGCAGAUCCACGACCUUCAAAUGAAAACAACAUCAGCUCCUCCUUGGAUCUCCAGCUCCAUGACCCUCAGACUUAAACAAGAGCAGCACCAGCUUCUCCCUGGGUCUCCAGCUCUAUGACCUUCAGACUUAAACAAGAGCAGCACCAGCUUCUCCCUGGGUCUCCAGCUCCAUGACCCUUGAAGUAGGAAAACAUCAGCUCCUCCUUGUAUCUCCAGCUCCAUGACCCUCUGAUCAGAAAAACAUCAGCUCCUCCCCAGGUCUCCAGUUCCACGACCCUCGAACUAGGAAAACAUCAGCUCCUCCCUGUGUCUCCAGCACCAAGACCCUCUGAUCAGAAAAACAUCGGCUCCUACCUGAGUCUCCAGAUACAGGAGCCUCAAACUAGAAAAACAUCAGCUCCUCCCAGGGUCUCCAGCUCCAUGACCCUCAAACUAGAAUAACAUCAGCUCCUUCCCAGGUCUCCAGCUGCACGACCAUCAAACUAGAACAUCAGCUCCUCCCCAAGUCUUCAGCUGCAUGACCCUCAAACUAGAACAUCAGCUCCUCCCAAGGUGUCCAGCUGCAUGACCGUCAAACUAGAACAUCAGCUUGUCCCCGAGUCUUCAGAUGCACAACUCUCAAACUAGAACACCAGCUCCUCUCCGGGUCUCCAGCUGCACGACCCUCACACUAGAAAGACGCCAGCUCCUCCGGGUUCUACAGCUGCAUGACCCUCCAAGUAAAAAAAACACCUGUUCCUCACAGGGUCUACAGCUGAACGAACCUCAGACUAGAAAAACACCAGCUCCUCCCCAGGUCUCAACCUGCAAGACCCUCAAACUAGAACAACAUAAGCUCCUCCCUGGGUUUCCAGCUCAAGGAACCUCAAACUAGAAUAACGCUAGCUUCUCCCUGGGUGUCCAGCUCCACUACACUCUGAUCAGAAAAACAUCAGCUCCUACCUGAGUCUCCAGCUUCAGGACCCUCAAACUAGAACAUCAGCUCCUCUCCGAGUCUCCAGCUGCACGACACUCAGACUAGAAAAACUCCAGCUCCUCCCAAGUUCUACAGCUACAUGACUCUGAAACUAAAAAACACCCUCUCCUGCCUAGGGCUUCAGCUGAACUAACCUCAAACUAGAACACCACCAACUCCUCUCUGGGUAUCCAGCUCCAUGACCCUCAAACAAGAAUAACACCAGCUCCCCCCUUGGUCUCCAGCUCCAUGACCCUUAAAACAGAACAACAUCAUCUCCUCCCCGGGUCUCAAGCUGCAUAACCCCCAAAAUAGAACAUCAGCUCCUUUCCAGGUCUCCAGCUGCAGGACACUUAUACUAGAAAAACACCAGCUCCUCCCGGGUUCUACAGCUGCGUGACCCUCAAACUAAUGAAACACCAGCUCCUCUCUGGGUCUCCAGCUGCACGAACCUCCAACUAGAACAACACCAGCUCCUCUCUGGGUCUCCAGCUCCAUGACCCUCAAACGAGAACAUCAGCUCCUCUCCAGGUGUCCAGCUGGAUGACCCUCAAACUAGAACAUCAGCUCCUCUCCGGGUCUCCAGCUGCACAACACUCAUACUAGAAAAACGCCAGCUCCUCCUGGGUUCUACAGCUGCACAACCCUCUAACUAAAGAAACACCAGCUCCUCUCUGGGUCUCCAGCUGCACGAACCUCAAACUACAACAUCAGCUCCUCUCCAGGUUUCCAGCAGCAGGACACUCAUACUAGAAAAACACCAGCUCCUCCUGGGUUCUACAGCUGCACGACCCUCAAACUAAAGAAACACCAGCUCCUCUCUGGGUCUCCAGCUGCAUGAACCUCAAAUUAGAACAACACCAGCUCCUCUCUGGCUCUCCAGCUCCAUGACCCUCAAACUGGAACAACAUCAGCUCCUCUCCAGGUCUCCAGCUGAGAGACCCUUAAAUGAGAACAACAUCAGUUCCUCCCCGAGUCUUCAGCUGCACGACCCUCAAACUAGAACAUCAGCUCCUCUCUGGGUCUCCAGCUGCAGGGCCCUCAAACUACCACAUCAGCUCCUCCCCGAGUCUGCAGCUGCACGACCCUCAAACUAGAACAUCAGCUCCUCUCUGGGUCUCCAGCUGCAGGGCCCUCAAACUACCACAUCAGCUCCUCCCCGAGUCUGCAGCUGCACGACCCUCAAAUUAGAACAUCAACUCCUUUCCGGUUCUCCAGCUGCAGGACACUCAAAUUAAAAAACGCCAGGUCCUCCAGGUUCUACAGCUGCACAUCCCUCAAACUAAAAAAAACUCCUGCUCCUUCCCAGGUCUCUAGCUGCACGAACCUCAUACUAGAACAGCACCAGCUCCUCUCUGGGUCUCCAGCUGCAAGACCCCCAAACUAGAACAACAUCCACUCCACCCAGGUUCUACGGCUGCACAACUCUCAAACUAAAGAAACACCAGCUCAUCUGCCGGUCUCCAGCUGCAUGAACCUCAAACUAGUACAACAGCUCCUCUCCGGGUCUUCAGCUGCAGGACACUCAUACUAGAAAAACGCCAGCUCCUCCCGGGUUCUACAGCUGCAUGACCCUCAAACUGAAAAACACCCGCUCUUCCCCAGGUCUCCAGCUGCAUGAACCUCAAACUAGAACAACAAGUCAAUACGAGAAAAACGCCAGCUCCUCCCGGGUUCUACAGCUGCAUGAUCCUCAAACUGAAAAACACCUGCUCCUCCCCAGGUCUCCAGCUGCACAAACCUCAAACUAGAACAACACCAGCUGCUCUCUGGGUCUCCAGCUGAAUGACCCUCAAACUAGAACAUCAGCUCCUCCCUGAGUCUUCAGCUGCACGACCCUCAAAAUAGAACACCAGCUCCUCUCCGGGUCUUCAGCUGCAAGACACUCAUACUAGAAAUUCACCAGCUACUCCCAGGGUCUGCAGCUGCACAACCCUCAAACAAAAAACACCAGCUCCUUCCCAGGUCUUCAGCUGCAAGACCCUCAAACUAGAAAAAUACCAGCUCCUCCCCAGGUCUUCGGCUCCAUGACCCUCCAAUUAAAACAACAUCAGCUCCUCCCGGGUCUCCAGUUGCACGACGCUCCAAUUAGAACACCUCUCCCCGCUGGAUCUCCAGCUCCAUGACCCUAACAGAAGAACAGCAACACCAGCUCCUUCAUUGGUCUUCAGCUCCACAACCUAAGACAUCAGUGGCAGCACUGGCUCCUCUGUGGACCUCCAGCUCAACGACUCUCAGACUUAAAAGGCAGCAACGUCUCCUCCCCAGGGCUCCAUCUCCACCACUCUCAGAUUUGAACAGCGGUCGCACCAGCUCCUGUCCGGGUUUUCAGCCCAAUGACCCUCCCUGAACAAUCCCUUCUCAUGAAAUUCAGCAGUCAAGUAAAUGAAUAAAUGUUUUGUUUUCAAAUAAUAAAAAUAAAAAUAAAUAAAACUCAGUGUUAGUAUGAACAUGGAGAUAAAUCAAACUAAAAAUUUUUAAUGAUACAAGUCAUUAUAUUUAGAUAUAUAUCUAGAUAAUAUAUUUAGAUAAUCUAAAUAUAUUUAGAUAAUAUAUAUGGUGCUAUAGGGGAGGAAAAAUACCUCUCUUUUUUCCAUCUUAGGCUACUGGCUGAGGCCACAUAACAAAAG